GAUGAACGCUAGCUACAGGCUUAACACAUGCAAGUCGAGGGGUAACGAGAGGAAAGCUUGCUUUCCUUGUCGACGACCGGCGCACGGGUGAGUAACGCGUAUCCAACCUGCCCCCAACUAGGGAAUAACCUUGCGAAAGUAAGACUAAUACCCUAUAAUUUCCUCAGAUGUCAUCUGACGAGGAAUAAAGAUUUAUCGGUUGUGGAUGGGGAUGCGUCUGAUUAGCUUGUUGGCGGGGUAACGGCCCACCAAGGCAACGAUCAGUAGGGGUUCUGAGAGGAAGGUCCCCCAGAUUGGAACUGAGACACGGUCCAAACUCCUACGGGAGGCAGCAGUGAGGAAUAUUGGACAAUGGGCGGAAGCCUGAACCAGCCAAGUAGCGUGCAGGAUGACGGCCCUAUGGGUUGUAAACUGCUUUUAUACAGGAAUAAAGUUAGCCACGUGUGGUUAUUUGUAGGUACUGUAUGAAUAAGGACCGGCUAAUUCCGUGCCAGCAGCCGCAGUAA
RNAcentral lists this ribosomal RNA (506 nucleotides) under uncultured bacterium. RNAcentral's name for it is "partial 16S ribosomal RNA". It matches the Rfam family "Bacterial small subunit ribosomal RNA", at positions 28 to 523 of the family's 1533-position model. The record is from RNAcentral.